AGACGGCUACCAGUUCUAAGGAACGCAGCAGGCGCGCAAAUUACACAAUGACAGUAAACUGUUGAUGUAGUGACAAGAGGUAACGGGGCGGUCCUCUAUGAGGCCCGUCAUUGUAUUGAGUAAAACUCAAAAUAUUUAACGAAACCAAUUGGAGGGCAAGUCUGGUGCCAGCAGCCGCGGUAAUUCCAGCUCCAAAAGCAUAUAUUAAAGUUGUUGCGGUUAAAAAGCUCGUAGUUGGAUCCAUGACCUCGGAGGGCGGUCCCCCACUGGGUGCGUACUGCUGCUCCGAGUCCUAUCUGUCAGUUUGUCUGUGUUGCCUUUAAUCGGGUGGCACAGGUGACUGACGUGUUUACUUUGAAAAAAUUAGAGUGUUUAAAGCAGGCGUUGAAUGCCUGAAUAGUGGUGCAUGGAAUAAUGGAAUAGGAUCUCGGUUCUAUUUUGUUGGUUCAAGAGCAUGAGAAAAUGAUUAAGAGGGACAGACGGGGGCAUUUGUAUUGCUGCGUUAGAGGUGAAAUUCUUGGAUCGUAGCAAGACAAACUACUGCGAAGGCAUUUGCCAAGAAUGUUUUCAUUAAUCAAGAACGAAAGUUAGAGGUUCGAAGGCGAUCAGAUACCGCCCUAGUUCUAACCGUAAACCAUGUCGACUAGCUAUCUGUCAGCGUUAAUAAUGACCUGACAGGCAGCUUACCGGAAACGAAAGUUUCUCGAUUCCGGGGGUAGUAUGGUUGCAAAGCUGAAACUUAAAGGAAUUGACGGAAGGGCACCACCAGGAGUGGAGCCUGCGGCUUAAUUUGACCCAACACGGGAAAACUCACCCGGCCCGGACACCGUAAGGAUUGACAGAUUAAUAGCUCUUUCUCGAUUUGGUGAUUGGUGGUGCAUGGCCGUUCUUAGUUGGUGGAGCGAUUUGUCUGGUUAAUUCCGAUAACGAACGAGAUUCUAACUUACUAACUAGUUCCACGAUCCUUGUGGUCCUAAAUACUUCUUAGAGGGAAAACCGGCAUUUAGUCGAACGAGAUUGAGCAAUAACAGGUCUGUGAUGCCCUUAGAUGUCCGGGGCUGCACGCGUGCUACACUGAAGGAAUCAGCGUGUUUUUCCCUUGCCUGUAAUGGCUGGGUAACCGACUGAAUCUCCUUCGUGUUAGGGAUAGAUCAUUGAAACUAGUGAUCUUCAACUUGGAAUUCCUGGUACGUUUGAGUCAUAAGCUCAAGCAGAUUACGUCCCUGCCCUUUGUACACACCGCCCGUCGCUACUACCGACUGGCAAUAUCUUUGAGACACUUGGAGCGGCCGUGAGCUACCCUAACCGGUAACUCACGGCUGCGAAAAGGUUCGAAAAGGUUUUGCUGGAGGGAGUAAAAGUCGUAACAAGGUU
This 1374-nucleotide ribosomal RNA is filed under the name metagenome. RNAcentral's name for it is "SSU rRNA". It matches the Rfam family "Eukaryotic small subunit ribosomal RNA", at positions 401 to 1801 of the family's 1831-position model. The record is from RNAcentral.